This 498-nucleotide ribosomal RNA is filed under the name uncultured bacterium. RNAcentral describes it as "partial 16S ribosomal RNA". It matches the Rfam family "Bacterial small subunit ribosomal RNA", at positions 29 to 523 of the family's 1533-position model. The record is from RNAcentral.
AUUGAACGCUGGCGGCAUGCCUUACACAUGCAAGUCGAACGGUAACAGGUCUUCGGAUGCUGACGAGUGGCGAACGGGUGAGUAAUACAUCGGAACGUGCCCGAUCGUGGGGGAUAACGGAGCGAAAGCUUUGCUAAUACUGCAUACGAUCUACGGAUGAAAGCAGGGGACCGCAAGGCCUUGCGCGGACGGAGCGGCCGAUGGCAGAUUAGGUAGUUGGUGGGAUAAAAGCUUACCAAGCCGACGAUCUGCAGCUGGUCUGAGAGGACGACCGCCCACACGGGGACUGGGACACGGCCCAGAUGCCUACGGGGGGCAGAGGGGGGGAAUUUGGGACAAUGGGCGCAAGCCUGAUCCAGCCUGGCCGCGUGCGGGAUGAAGGCCUUCGGGUUGUAAACUGCUUUUGUACGGAACAAAAUCCGUCGGGCUAAUACCCUGACGGGAUGACGGUACCGGAAGAAUAAGCACCGGCUAACUACGUGCCAGCCGCCGCCGUAA